Molecule: long non-coding RNA, 540 nt
Organism: Bactrocera neohumeralis
Lineage: Eukaryota; Metazoa; Arthropoda; Insecta; Diptera; Tephritidae
Exons: 3
Source: RefSeq, a predicted model, not a curated record
CGCGAAGACCAAAAGGUCAUUAAGGAUGCCGUCUAAUAAAUUAAUUCGCGGCUCACGUCUGUUGAAAAGGCCCUUGCCGAAAAGAUGCCGGAAAAAACUGAGGUUCAGGAAACUGAGGUUGGCGUGAAUGCAAAGUGCUGACGGCUAGAACCCAGAAGUCCCUUGGCGGCAUCACCAGUGACAUAGAGGAUGAAGAGUAUUUGGAGCUUUCUUCCAAAAUACCCAUGUCAUCGACAGAGCAACUACUGUCCGUUUAAACGCUGUUAAAGGUGAAGUGUUGAUGCAAUGAUGCGGCUACUGGUAAAGGCAAAGGACUAUAAAGGUAGUGUGGACGGUGGCCUUCGUUCGUUGUUUUUCGACGAAUUAAUGACGAAGUACAAUUUGGAGGGACGUAGGGGAAAUUGGCGCUUUUGAAAUUAAAGUGCAUUGAUAUAAUUUUAUAAAAUUACACAUACUAAAUUUAUCAUAGCAUUGCAAAUAUUUUUUCUUGAAGGAGCAGUUCAUUUUAGAUUUAACACAUUUUAUAGCGUUAAGUCAUAA